RNAcentral lists this ribosomal RNA (382 nucleotides) under Flavobacteriaceae bacterium. RNAcentral describes it as "bacterial SSU rRNA". It matches the Rfam family "Bacterial small subunit ribosomal RNA", at positions 1 to 374 of the family's 1533-position model. Lineage: Bacteria; Pseudomonadati; Bacteroidota; Flavobacteriia; Flavobacteriales; Flavobacteriaceae. The record is from RNAcentral.
UUUUUACAACGAAGAGUUUGAUCCUGGCUCAGGAUGAACGCUAGCGGCAAGCCUAACACAUGCAAGUCGAACGGUAACUUUUGGUGCUUGCACCGAAAGACGAGUGGCGAACGGGUGCGUAACGCGUAUGCAAUCUGCCUUUUACUAGGGUAUAGCCCAGAGAAAUUUGGAUUAAUCCCCUAUAAUAUCAUUUUUCCGCAUGGUUGAAUGAUUAAAGCUUCGGCGGUAAAAGAUGAGCAUGCGUCUUAUUAGUUUGUAGGUGAGGUAACGGCUCACCUAGACUACGAUAGGUAGGGGCCCUGAGAGGGGGACCCCCCACACUGGUACUGAGACACGGACCAGACUCCUACGGGAGGCAGCAGUGAGGAAUAUUGGACAAUGG